GAAUUAUGACAGUAUUAUUCCUAACUUUCCAAACAUGCACUUGUCCACUUUCAGCUAUCUCUACACUUGAUUCUCUGAAGAGAUGGUGCUUUCCCCAACUCUCCAAGCCUCAAGGGACAGUGUGGAGAAGAAAUGCUGUUUAUGGUACAGGGUAGCCAUUCUUGCAUUCUUAUUCUCCAGUUCUUUUCUACUACUCAGAAUUCUGACUCCACAGAAAUUCCUAAUUAACUCAGUUGCUCUACAAUGACAAGCUAAUCUCUGGAGCUACCAAGUCAGGAAAGUCAUUCGGCCUGGAUCAGCAUGGAUUUUCUCCCUUGCACCCAGUUCAGCAGCUGGGCACCAAACCAACCCCUACAUUGUGGGAUGAAGAUGCCAAGGGCUGGAGCAACUCAGGGCUGAUUGUUUCACUCAGAAAAUCAUGGGCCGGAUAGAGGCAGUUACAUGCACAGGAGAUGUAGAAGCCACUUCUGGUCUCCAUUCUUCAGUUCCAGUUCAUGUACAUCCUACUGUCUAUCAGCUUACCAUAUAUAGUGCUUAUUAUGGGACUGGCAGUAUUCUAAGUGUUGUACAUAAUUAACUCACGGUGCUCACAGGACCUGAUAAGGAACGAUGAACUCAGUUGCAUUAGCUUGGCCACAUGACUUCUUGAGAGGCACCUUUCAGAUAUGGAAACACUUUAGAGGGUUGUGUUGAGCCUCAAGAAGACAUUGAGCACUCAAUUCUCAGUGACCAAUGGUUGACCUCUUUUGAGACAUUUCCAACUGGAAAGGAGAGACAGGUCUUCCUGCCUCCCAUGGAACCUCAUUUUUAAUGAUGUGGCUUCAUGAAGAUGUGACCUAAGGAAGAACUGGGUACAGACAAUGCUUUUAAUCUCACUCACCUUAUUCUUCAGUUAUAUAUAUAAGCGUCAAGAAACCAGUGUUAGCUAACAGCACUGUUUUCACUGCUAAGCAAAACUUCGGGAAGGGGCAUCCUUUGAUAGAACAUUAAUGAACCAAUUUUCUGUCAGUCUAAAUUAAAACCUACACUGCUUCCCUUUUCCCUCCCAAGCUCUGCUCUUAUAGACUUACUCCAAAUCAUCUUAAGUGGUAUAAAACUGAUGGUGAUUGGUUUUAAUAUUGAAAACCUAAAAUUAAUAAAUGUAGUUUGGACUGCUGCUCCUGUCCAUGUGUUCUUUUAUGUAGGUUUAUUUAAAAGCCAAACAACACUGCUGCUUCCAGAGACCCUUUGUUCUGGUCUUCAUUAUCAAAGCUGAUGGAAUCAGGUUUGGGACCAAGGCUUAUGCCCACGAAACUGGCCAACUAUUAGGCAGAAGAAGCAUUUCUUUUCAGAGUAACCAGUAUAGAUAGUAAGCAAGAUAUGUAUAUAAGCCAAGAAGUAUUUCCUGUAAAGGAGUAACCAAAUAAUUAGUUGAUUUUGACAUGAUCUUCCCAUAGACAUAGUGGCAAUGGAGCAAAGAUACACUUUUCCUGAAUUUUGAAAGAAUUUGAGCAGUUCUUGCCUUGAAUCUGAUGUCUGUCAGACCCAGAAAUUUCACAUACAUUCUCUGGCUGGCACAGGGUGGUGAAGGGUGAACGGUUUGGGAAAUGAAGAGGUUUGGGAUGAAUGGCACUGAAAUCACUUUGAAUCUUGGAGAAUAUUUGGAGGGGGAUCCCUCAGUCUGACUCCCUUGUGAGUCAGAAUCAACAGGGAGCUCAGUAGGGACCCCGAUGGGUUGAGUUAAUGUGGAAUGGGCUUAAAUGGAUCCAUGGAGUGUUCUGAAGAGGAGGGGGUUGGCUCUUCUCAGACGAGGGAGGGGAUCUGGAUUCCUUGGUCCUUUGGGUAGAAGGUCACUAUGUCCAAAAGGAUUCUUUGAAGAGUUGUUGCCCAUCUUUGUCUCUGAGAAGCAGAAUAAAAGGGUUGUACUUGUAAGAAGUAGAGAAGAAGAGGUGAAGUUAGGAGAUCUCCAUGGCUGUGGCUGAGAAUUAAUGAUGCAGAAAGGUUCUGGAGCCCCUAACUCUGGUUUUAAAGGUCAAGGGUUUUCACCUUGCCUAGUAAGCUCCUCAGCUUACCAAAUGUCUUUGAUCACAUUGCUUAACCACCCUGAACCUUCAUUCCCUUACCUGUAAAGUGGAGAUAAUGCUUGUUCCAGAAGAUUGUUAACAGGAUCACACGAAGUAAUAAUAUCUAGCAUCAAGACUCACAUAGCUCUUCAGAUGUUCCAGGCCAUUAUUACUGCUUCUGGUUCUGUUACAGUGGCUGACAGGGGCAAGAUGGUAGUGGCCAUAGAAAUGUCAGGUUGGAGACAUCAGAGCUGGCAUAGAGAUGCAGCAGAACUGAUUGAAGGGAAGCUACCUACAGAGCACCCAGUCUGACUCCAUCCACAGGCUGGUGCCUGGUCACCUAGAGGACAGGAUGGGUUGUGACAAUAGCACCUCCCUUGGCUUCCGGGGUGACACACAUUUCAUCCUGGAGAGGCUUUUGGUGGGAGCCACAGCCGGAGGAGGAUACGGAUGUGGAGAUAGUGUCAGACCUCCCACUCUGCCCCCUACACACCCUGCCUGCUUUCCAAUUUUAGCGAUGUUACCAGGGCAGCUUUUCAGAAAGCCUGCUUCAGUGGUUCUUGCCUGGGCUGCUUCCACCGCGGCUGUGUGCUGGGGACCAUUCACUGAGCCUCAGCCAUCGUGCCCCAUCUGUUCUUCUGGCUGCGGCCACCCAGCAUCUGUGGGGGGCGGCGAGGGCUGAAGAUACCCAGACAAGUGACGGGGAGGACCUGCAGCAGGGGUGCCCAGCAGGAGACACCCACUGAAGGGCUCUGAUGACCCCCAGGGGUGGGGGGACAA
Long non-coding RNA from Canis lupus familiaris (dog), 2822 nucleotides. RefSeq lists it as uncharacterized. NCBI's taxonomy places the organism in Eukaryota, Metazoa, Chordata, Mammalia, Carnivora, Canidae. The record is from RefSeq and is a predicted model, not a curated record. The transcript has 4 exons.